Molecule: small RNA, 263 nt
Filed under: Drosophila mojavensis
Lineage: Eukaryota; Metazoa; Arthropoda; Insecta; Diptera; Drosophilidae
Description: GI26909
Source: RNAcentral
UUGCAAGCUGAAUAGCAGCUGCUACCAUACAAAGUGCAGGGGGGCGCAAAGCUGGAAAUAGCCGAACUUCAUUAAUUGCAAGUUGACUAGCAGAAUACAUGAAGUACAGCAAGGAGACUUAGUCAUAUGGGCUGCAUAGCCAAUAGGGCGCAUAAUUAAGUUAGAUUUAAGUAGAUUUAAAUUUGAAUAUUAGGCGCAAGCGCCGUCAGAUAUGUUCGCUGCACAUAUACAUAUAUGUGCCGAAAAUAAACUUUUGUAUUGUA